RNAcentral lists this ribosomal RNA (227 nucleotides) under Clostridioides difficile. Its description in RNAcentral is "partial 23S ribosomal RNA". It matches the Rfam family "Bacterial large subunit ribosomal RNA", at positions 686 to 912 of the family's 2925-position model. Lineage: Bacteria; Bacillati; Bacillota; Clostridia; Peptostreptococcales; Peptostreptococcaceae. The record is from RNAcentral.
UUAACGGCGUGCAGUUACUUGACGUAGACCCGAAACCGGGCGACCUACCCAUGAGCAGGAUGAAGCGAAAGUAAGAUUUCGUGGAGGUCCGAACCCACGGGCGUUGAAAUGCUCGGGGAUGACUGGUGGGUAGCGGUGAAAUUCCAAUCGAGCCCGGAGAUAGCUGGUUCUCCCCGAAAUAGCUUUAGGGCUAGCCUCAAGGUGAGAGAUACGGAGGUAGAGCACUG